RNAcentral lists this ribosomal RNA (253 nucleotides) under uncultured bacterium. Its description in RNAcentral is "partial 16S ribosomal RNA". It matches the Rfam family "Bacterial small subunit ribosomal RNA", at positions 524 to 776 of the family's 1533-position model. The record is from RNAcentral.
GACAGAGGGUGCGAACGUUGUUCGGAAUUACUGGGCGUAAAGCGCGUGUAGGCUGCUCGGUAAGUCGGAUGUGAAAGCCCUGGGCUCAACCCAGGAAGUGCAUUCGAAACUUCCAAGCUCGAGUCCUGGAGAGGAAAGCGGAAUUCUCGGUGUAGAGGUGAAAUUCGUAGAUAUCGAGAGGAACACCGGUGGCGAAGGCGGCUUUCUGGACAGUGACUGACGCUGAGACGCGAAAGCGUGGGGAACAAACAGG